UGGGGAAUAUUGGACAAUGGGGGAAACCCUGAUCCAGCGAUGCCGCGUGUGCGAAGAGGGCCUGCGGGUUGUAAAGCACUUUGGUUGGGGAAGAAGUGUUGAAGUCGAAAAGGCUUUAGCAUUGACGUUACUCAAGAAACAAGCACCGGCUAACUCUGUGCCAGCAGCCGCGGUAAUACAGAGGGUGCAAGCGUUAAUCGGAAUUACUGGGCGUAAAGGGCGCGUAGGCGGUGAAUUAAGUUGGAGGUGAAAGCCCUGGGCUCAACCUGGGAAUCGCCUCUAAGACUGAUUUGCUAGAGUAGGGUAGAGGGAAGUGGAAUUUCCGGUGUAGCGGUGAAAUGCGUAGAUAUCGGAAAGAACAUCAGUGGCGAAGGCGGCUUCCUGGACUUAUACUGACGCUGAGGCGCGAAAGCAUGGGGAGCAAAC
This 426-nucleotide ribosomal RNA is filed under the name uncultured bacterium. RNAcentral describes it as "bacterial SSU rRNA". It matches the Rfam family "Bacterial small subunit ribosomal RNA", at positions 355 to 773 of the family's 1533-position model. The record is from RNAcentral.